UACAGAGGGAGCAAGCGUUGUUCGGAAUUACUGGGCGUAAAGGGCGCGUAGGCGGUUCGAUAAGUCCCGUGUGAAAUCCCUCGGCUCAACUGAGGAAUUGCACGGGAAACUGACGGGCUUGAGUUCGGGAGAGGGAAGCGGAAUUCCGGGUGUAGCGGUGAAAUGCGUAGAUAUCCGGAGGAACACCGGUGGCGAAGGCGGCUUCCUGGACCGACACUGACGCUGAGGCGCGAAAGCGUGGGGAGCGAACCGG
Molecule: ribosomal RNA, 253 nt
Filed under: uncultured bacterium
Lineage: Bacteria
Description: partial 16S ribosomal RNA
Rfam family: Bacterial small subunit ribosomal RNA
Source: RNAcentral